Molecule: transfer RNA, 63 nt
Filed under: Ictidomys tridecemlineatus (thirteen-lined ground squirrel)
Lineage: Eukaryota; Metazoa; Chordata; Mammalia; Rodentia; Sciuridae
Description: Spermophilus tridecemlineatus (thirteen-lined ground squirrel) tRNA
Rfam family: tRNA
About the family: Transfer RNA (tRNA) molecules are approximately 80 nucleotides in length. Their secondary structure includes four short double-helical elements and three loops (D, anti-codon, and T loops).
Source: Rfam by way of RNAcentral
GUGUGGCUUGGUGGUAGAGCAUUUGCCUAGCGUGUAUGAGACCCUGGGUUCAAUUCCCAGUAC